GACGAACGCUGGCGGCGUGCUUAACACAUGCAAGUCGAACGAGUGGCGAACGGGUGAGUAACACGUGGGUGACCUGCCUUGCACUUCGGGAUAAGCCUGGGAAACUGGGUCUAAUACCGGAUAGUGCAAGAUGAGUGCGCGGCCUACCGGCUAGUUGGUGGGGUGAUGGCUUCCAAGGCGCGACGGGUAGCCGGCCUGAGAGGGUGUACGGCCGCAUUGGGACUGAGUUACAGCCCAGACUCCAGCGGGGGGCAGCGGUGGAUAGUAUUACGCCAGGGGCGGUGGCCUGAUGCAGCGACGCCGGGUGGUGGAGGAAGGCCUUCGGGUUGUAAUCUCCUUUCGCCAGGGACGCGGUACCUGUAUAAGAAGCACCGGCUAACUACGUGCCAGCAGCCGCGGUAAUAC
This 405-nucleotide ribosomal RNA is filed under the name uncultured bacterium. Its description in RNAcentral is "partial 16S ribosomal RNA". It matches the Rfam family "Bacterial small subunit ribosomal RNA", at positions 28 to 526 of the family's 1533-position model. The record is from RNAcentral.